RNAcentral lists this long non-coding RNA (1089 nucleotides) under Canis lupus familiaris (dog). RNAcentral describes it as "lncRNA (ENSCAFG00845004538.1)". The record is from RNAcentral. Lineage: Eukaryota; Metazoa; Chordata; Mammalia; Carnivora; Canidae.
CACAGGCAGAGGGAGAAGCAGGCUCCAUGCAGGGAGCCUGAUGUGGAACUGGAUCCCUUUGAUUUCUUUGAUCCCAGGACUCCAGGAUCCCACCCUGGGCCGAAGGCAGCCGCUAAUGGCCAAGCCACCCAGGGAUCCCCUGGUCAUAACUUUCAAGUGGAACCUGACACACCUUGGGAGCCUUUGAAAUAUUUUCUCUAUGGUUUGGGAUAGAGACUUCUUUCCUAGUUUCUCUUUUUGUUUGAAAGAUUACAUUUAUUUAUUCACUAGAGACACACACACACAGAGGCAGAGACACAGGCAGAGGGAGAAGCAGGCUCCUUGCAGGAAGCCUGAUGUGAAACUUGAUCCCAGGACCUUGGGAUCACAACCUGACCCAAAGGCAGAUGCUCAACCACUGAGCCAGAGAGGCAUCCCUCUUUUCCAGUUUCACUGUGUCCAGAGGUGUGUCCAUCGGCAACUCUGGCCCCUUGGUUGUCUUCUAGGCCAUCACCAUCAGUCCCCAGAUUCCAGGUGUGUGAAGCUUUAAGUCACAGCCAUAGUUUCCGUUGGCUGCUCCAAUAUCCUGUGCCAGAUUCUACAUGAGCAGAUAAAUACCACAGUUCCCAUAUGUCUAUUGGGCAAGAAGCGCAACAAAUACAUCGCAAACAUUAUAGGCUUUGGAUCUUGUUCUGCUAUACAUUGUAUGGAACACAUAGACUAACUCCAUGCAGCAUUCAGAUGUUCCUCAGAUGUUUCAUGUGUAGGACUCAUUCUGGUUGUCAUUCUGUGCAUUCACAAGCCUAAAGGCCAACACCUUCAUAGGAACAGUAUCUCACCGAGAUCUUCUCUGAGAUGACAGUACCCCAAAGAUUCUUGUCCUUGAGAGUAUGUUUGUCAAUUUUUAUACCCCUGUCUGCCAUCAUUGUAAUUUUUCUUUUUCAUUAGAUCAUGUGGAGGGAAGUGAACAACACUGACCAAGCAGGUGUCCAGAUAUAAACAGAUAGAACCUGUUUCUUUCCGAGGCAUCUGGUCACGAGAAAACCAGAUGAAGGGACACCUGGGUGGCUGAGCGGUUGAGUGUCUGCCUUCAGCUCAGAUUGUGAUCCC